AGCCAACAUCAUCUGUGUCUGAGGAUGCAAUGUGGCCCGAUGCUCUCACUAACUUCUUCCUACUCCAGCCUCCGGGGACCAGUGUGGGAAACUGCUUUCAGACUCUCCCACUGCAGACAUGUAAUGUGUGCUCUCUUUCAGCAGGGAGAAGGCUAUAAGGUGAAAACAAAGAAGGAAAUCCGGAAUGUGGAGAAGAAAGCCCACUAGUGACGGUGACGUCAGUCCAGGUGGGAAGCACACUUAUGUCCGCAGCUAGAUUUAAAAGUCUCGAGAAGUUUCUGAGUUCGUCUUUCCUUUCUCUUUCUUUACUGCAAUCUCACUGGGAGAUGAAAUUAAAUAAAUCCUGUCAUUUCUUUAUACG
Molecule: long non-coding RNA, 361 nt
Filed under: Rattus norvegicus (Norway rat)
Lineage: Eukaryota; Metazoa; Chordata; Mammalia; Rodentia; Muridae
Description: long non-coding RNA NONRATT017335
Source: RNAcentral